GACAGAGCGAGACUCCAUCUCAAAAAAAAAAAAAAAAAAAGAAAAUAGAGAACUUGGGCCAGGUCCCCUCCCAGCUGCACCAUGAAGGGGACUGGAUUCGCCCCCAAGACUGCCUUGUCCAAUCCCUUCAUGGUGCAGCUGGGAGGGAAUUUUGCCCAAGGUCAUACAGCAGUGAGGGGCAGUGCUGGAACAGGAAUUUGUACCACCUGACUCUUUUAAAGAGACAAAGUCUCAUUUUGUCAUCCAGGCUGGAGUAUAGUCACAUUCAUGGCUCACUGCAGCCUUGAACUCCCGAGCUCAAGCGAUCCUCCUGCCUCAGCCUCCCAAAUAGCUCAGACUACAGGCGCGUGCCACCACACCUGGCUAAUUUAAUUUAAAAUUUUUUUUUGUAGAGAUGGGGGCUCGCCAUGUUGCCCAGGCUGGUCUCAAACUCCUGGGCUCAAGCAAUCCUCCUGCCUCGGCCUCCCAAAGUGCUGGAAUUACAGGAGUGAGCCACCAUACCCCAGCCCCUCUUGAUUCUUUAUCAGUGCCCUAUCCUGUACCUCUCAUGGCCUCUUGAGUAAGUACUGACCCAAGAAAAGAAGAUGCAGCUGCUUCUCUCCAGAAGCUCCACUAGUGAGACUACUCCCUGGGGUGGUGUUGACAAGGUCUCAUUAGAGAGCUGGGGAGUCACAUGGGGAGUCUGUUGGGUACACCUCUUGGGCCGAGUCUCUUGCAAGGUGUUGGCUCUACGCAGGCAGAGUCCCCUCUGCCUGGUUUUCAGUGGCCUGGUGUUUAAGGGCCUAGGCUCUGGAAUGACAUGGGCUGGAUCUGAAUCCCCAUGCUGAGGUGUGAGGUCUAUCUAGACACAUUGCUUAACAUCUUUGAGCCCCAGUUCUCUUAUUUACAGUGAUACUUAGGUCAAGACGUUAAUUUGAUAGUCUUGGUGUCAUGCCUGGCAUGAAGUAGCUGCUCAAUAAAUAAUCACUGUUAGUAUGGCACUAUGAUAACUGCAGACCACACAGGCCUCGAGCAGUGAGCAGCAGCCCAAUAUUUACUAUUGCUCUGGUAGUCUAUACAGCCAUAGAGUCCACGAAUUCUAAAGAGGAGCUCUGGAAAGUGUGAAAGCCUCUGGACUCCAAUGAAGCUAUUUGCUGGGCUCCCCAGGCAAAAAGAAGGCAUAAUAAUUGUCAAUAUCAUCAUUCUCACCAUUAGAAGGUGCCACCUCCCAGACUCUACAACUCGUAUAUCCAGCUGGGAGAGCUUCUAUUUCUCUGCAGGCAAUCAAUUAAUAGAAACCUCCUUUCUGUAAUGAACAUGAAAGCAUUUGACAGUUUUAAAGGAUUUUACCAAUUAAACAAAAGUCAUUCCUUUUCCUCCUUCCUGAACCCAAUACCCGCUCCCAACAUACACACCUUCUACUCCUGGUACAUGGAAGAAGAAAGGGUAACUCGUCUACUCUAGACUCAUCUUAAAUUGACUACAGAUGGUUUGGCUAAUUCAGUUCAAAUUAAAUUCUUUUCUUGCCUAUCCUGUCCUCUUCGCAAAUGGGAAUUGGCCCUUGGAGUUAAAUUUCUUUCUAAAGUUCCUACUGUAUGACUGGGGUAAUUUCUCAACAAUGGCUGGUGAUGUUAGAUCUGUGGUUGCUCAAAAAGAUGGAGGGGCUGGCUGCAGCGGCUCACGCCUGUUAUCCCAGCACUCUGGGAAGUCGAGGUGGGUGGAUCAUUUGAUCACCGUUCUGGGAUUACAGGCAAUGAGCCACCACACCCAGCCUGAACAAGUCACUUUUGAUGCUACCAUUUCCAUGUUUACAAAGUGAAAAGUAAAUCAGUCAGAGUAUAUUAGUUGCAAACAACAGAAACAACUCUAGCUAGCCUGAGAGAAAAAAAAGGUAGAGGGUUAGUCUCCUGGAGAGAUUUGGGGACCUCAAAGGAAAGAUUAUACAAUGUGCCUCCAAAAAAAAAAAAAAAGGGUCACCACAAGGGCAAAUGCGUGAUUUAAUGGGGUUGGGACUUUCAGCCCCAUCCCCCAACCUCUGGGGAGGAGAGAGGGACUGAAGGUCAAGUUGAUCACCAAUGGCCAAUGGUUUAAUCAAUCAUGCCUACAUAAUGAAGCCUCCAUAAAAACCCAAGAGGACAGGCUUCAGAGAGCUUCCUGAUAGCCAGACAUGCUGGGGUUCCUAGAAGGUGGCAGGCCCAGGGAGGACGCAGAAGCUCUGCACCCCUUCCCAUACCUCACCCUAUGCAUCUCUUCAUCUGCAGCCUUUGUAAUAGCCUUUAUAAUAAACUGGUGUGUUUCCCUGAAUUCUUUUUGGUUUUUUAAUUUUUGAGACACAGCCUGGAAUGCAGUGGUGUGAUCAUGAAUCACUGCAGCCUCGACCUCCUGGGCUCAAGCGAUCCUCCUGCCUCAGCCUCUUGAGUAGCUGGGACUAGAGGCUUGUGCCACCAUGCCUGGCUAAUUUUAUUAUUUAUAGAGAUGGGGUCUCACUCUGUUGACCAAGCUGGUCUUGAACUCCUGGACUUAAACGAUCCUCCCACCUUGGCUUCCCAAAGUGCUGGGAUUACAGGUGUGAGCUACUGCACCUGGCCUUGCUUCCCUGUGUUCUGUGAGCCUCUCCAACAAAUUAAUUGAGCCCAAAGAGGGUUGUGGAAACCCCAACUUAAAGCCAGUUGUCAAAAGUUCUAGAGGCUCCACUUUUGACUGGUGUCUGAAGUGAGGGCAGUCUUGGGGACUGAGCCCUCAGACUGUGGGAUCUGAUGCCAUCUCCAAGUAGAUAGUGUUGGAAUUGAAUUGGAGGACACCUAGCUGGUGUCCACUGCAGAACUGAUUGUUUGCCUGCUGGUGGGGGGAAAUCCCCUCUCAUUUUGGGGUCACACAAGUCUGUUGUGUGUUGAUGACUGUUGUGGUGGUGUGAAAGCAGAGGGAAACAUGGUUUGAGAAUUUUUUCCUGAACAAUGGGACUGUCAGUCAAGGUGGACCACCCUUUCUUGGCCCCACAUCAGGUGAAUCAGCCUCUCCUGGGAAUUACUUUGAAUGGUCCAGUGCAAGGACUGAAGAGGUUGGAGCUGACAUUCCUGUGGCUUUGCUUGGAAGACAUUGUCCGCUUGGCUCCUCUAGCACCCCUCAGGGGCUAUUUUUUUUUUUUUGGAGGCACGUUGUAUAAUCUUUCCUUUGAGGUCCCCAAGUCUCCCCAGGAGACUAACCCUCUACCUUUUUUUCUCUCAAGCUAGCUAGAGUUCUUUCUGUUGUUUGCACCUAAAA
RNAcentral lists this long non-coding RNA (3240 nucleotides) under Homo sapiens (human). RNAcentral's name for it is "non-protein coding lnc-AHCY-7:1". Lineage: Eukaryota; Metazoa; Chordata; Mammalia; Primates; Hominidae. The record is from RNAcentral.